Long non-coding RNA from Gopherus evgoodei (Goodes thornscrub tortoise), 796 nucleotides. RefSeq lists it as uncharacterized. The transcript has 3 exons. The record is from RefSeq and is a predicted model, not a curated record. NCBI's taxonomy places the organism in Eukaryota, Metazoa, Chordata, Testudines, Testudinidae.
GAGAUGCAGCGCUGUAUGUGCCUUCCAACUGUGGAUGCUAUGCUAAGACCUAGUCCCUGGACCAAGUCCCUGAAAAGUGAUGUUUUGACUACCGGAUUUGGAAAACAAAGUGCAGCAUUGCAAAAUGGAUACUCUAGGGAUGACCUCUCUGAACUGAAAAUGGCUUUUUGAUGAGGAUGUUCUAUCACACCAACAUGAUGAACUUUGAAAUUGGAAGAAACUGCUUUGGGGAACAACAGGACAGAAGCUCCUGUGAUUGGAUUUAGCUGUCAUUCCACCCCCUUGCUGGAUAUUUAAGUUAGAAGAAAAGCCCUAGAAUUUGUGUUCAUUGAUAAAAAUCUGCUUUCAGCCAAAAUGUGUGUGUCUGUUUUUAUCACUGUUCAGCUUAUCUCUGCCAAAGUAAGUGAAUUUACCAUCUAUAUUUUUCCAUUUUAUGGUCUUCCUAGGGAAGUCAAAGGAUGUUGCCUGACUUACACAUGAGAACACAAAGUUAUCUGGAUGUUAUUUCUUGGGGAAGCAUCCUACAGGCUGUAGGCACUCUGUGGGUGCUCAGCACCCACUGGUAGCCCUGUGGAUCAACACCUCCCUCCCCCCAAACCCUCCUAUCUGCUGGCAGGCCUCACCGAUCAGCUCCUCCCUCCCAGCACCUCCUGCCUGCUGUGAUCAGUUGUUCAGUGGCAAGCAGGAGGUGCUUGGAGGGGGGGAGCAGGAUUAGGAAAAGGUGGGAGAGGGGGCAGAAGGGGCAAAGGCAGGAAAGAGGCUGAGCGGGGAUGACAGCUUGGGGGAAGGAGUGGGG